CUAACUUCAAAUCUGCUGCGGUAGGUUUGCCCAUUGUUGACAAAGACGACACGAAAUCCAAAAGAUCGUCGACUAAUUGAAAUGCUAAACCGAUGUUCCUACCGUAUUGGAAGGCUAAUUCGACCAACUGUUCAUCACCACCAGCUAGCAUAGUCACCUGUUCAAAAUACAUAAUUCUUCGUAUUAAAAACUUCGACCUGUGCGAAAGGAUUAAAUAUCAAGAUCAACAUGACAGUACAUACCGCCUUCAAGGAAUUAGCAACUAAGCUGGCUGUCUUGCGAUACGUUUUCGUGAGGUAAUGCGCGAAUCUCUCGUUUUCCGUCUCCUUAGAGCCAAGCUGCAUAAAUUCACCCUGCACCAGGUCCGUCACGACCUGGAAAGCACCUGGACUUGUCAAUACUUAUCAUCAGGGUUAUAUCAGGAUCCUAGAGCAUAUAUGGUUUGUGAACUUUACCUGACUGAGCGUGAGGGUGACAUCGUCAUUUUGCAGUUGAGCUAUCAUAAUUGACGCGACUGCCAGAACAUAAUCUCCUGUCAUGGUCACCUGAAAAUCGAGCAACAAAUAAUGGAAACAUACAUUAAGAUAUUUUUUCAGAGGAUAAGUUUGUUUAAGAUUAAGUAAAAUGAAAUGAUCCGAUCUUUCUCGUGGAAAGUAAUCCUGGCAUUUUAAUUGCUAAAAUGCGUAGUCGCUCAAUAAAGACAAUUAACGAAGAUAAUAUACUAUGACUUGAAAACAAGAUCUUCCCAAAUAAUAUACUUUGAUGUAUAUAUAUAUAUUUAUCUAUUUAUAAAUAUCUAAUUAUACAUUUAUAAAUAUACAAAUAAAUAUAU
Molecule: unclassified non-coding RNA, 832 nt
Filed under: Bombus terrestris (buff-tailed bumblebee)
Lineage: Eukaryota; Metazoa; Arthropoda; Insecta; Hymenoptera; Apidae
Description: misc RNA ENSBTSG00005021363.1
Source: RNAcentral